This is a long non-coding RNA of Suricata suricatta (meerkat), 299 nucleotides long. RefSeq lists it as uncharacterized. The transcript is spliced from 2 exons. Lineage: Eukaryota; Metazoa; Chordata; Mammalia; Carnivora; Herpestidae. The record is from RefSeq and is a predicted model, not a curated record.
CCAGAGGCCCUUACUGGGGAAAUGGACAAGCAAAAUACGUCACGUGUAUCUGGCGAACUACUUUGCAGCAAACAGAAGAACACCUGGAUUCCAUAAAACGUUGACAGAAGCUCCCAGGAAGAAGCCAGAGCUGCUCCAAUCAGGAAACCUAAGCAUGGGUCCCGGUUCUGUAAACUACUAGUUGUGUGACUUUGACCAAGAUGCUCAACUCCUUCAAACGUUUCUUCUUCUCUCAAAAUGGGGACCACCCUGGCUAACUGGAAGGGCCAUUUGGAAAAAUAAACAAGAUUUUACAUGAA